AUUGAACGCUGGCGGUAUGCUUAACACAUGCAAGUCGGACGGAAACGAUAGGAGCUUGCUCCUAGGCGUCGAGUGGCGGACGGGUGAGUAACGCGUAGGAAUCUGCCUAAUAGUGGGGAAUAGCCCGAGGAAACUCGGAUUAAUACCGCAUGAACCUUACGAGGUAAAGAGGGCCUCUUCUUGAAAGCUCUCGCUAUUAGAUGAGCCUGCGUGAGAUUAGCUAGUUGGUGGGGUAAAGGCUCACCAAGGCGACGAUCUCUAGCUGGUCUGAGAGGAUGAUCAGCCACACUGGGACUGAGACACGGCCCAGACUCCUACGGGAGGCAGCA
Molecule: ribosomal RNA, 329 nt
Filed under: uncultured bacterium
Lineage: Bacteria
Description: bacterial SSU rRNA
Rfam family: Bacterial small subunit ribosomal RNA
Source: RNAcentral